Molecule: unclassified non-coding RNA, 250 nt
Filed under: uncultured Archaeorhizomycetales
Lineage: Eukaryota; Fungi; Ascomycota; Archaeorhizomycetes
Description: sequence contains 5.8S rRNA gene, ITS2, 28S rRNA gene
Source: RNAcentral
AACGCACAUUGCGCCUCCCUGAGAGGGGAGGCAUGCCUGUCUGAGCGUCGUUUUAAUCCAAAUGCAGGCCUCCUGCGUCUUGGGCCAACCCUGUCGUCGACCCGCUCGACGUGGCCUCGAAUCGAUGGGUCUCGUGUAGAACGGACGAGCUCCUGUGGGACGAUGGACCGUUCGAGGGGACCGGAGGAAAAAGGCCCUCCAGGCCUCUGAAUUCGACCUCAGAUCAGGUAGGACCACCGCCUGAACUUAA